This is an RNA transcript of Tachysurus fulvidraco (yellow catfish), 1430 nucleotides long. It is a transcript of the gene named stannin, with no coding region annotated. NCBI's taxonomy places the organism in Eukaryota, Metazoa, Chordata, Actinopteri, Siluriformes, Bagridae. The transcript has 2 exons. The record is from RefSeq and is a predicted model, not a curated record.
UGUGUGUGAGCCAGUGUGUGUGAGUGUGUCAGUGUGUAUGAGCCAGUGUGUGUGUGUGUGUGUGUCAGUGUGUAUGAGCCAGUGUCUAUGAGCCAGUCAGCAUGAGCCAGUGUUUGAUUGGCUGGAUGCGGAUUCCGUCACUUCCUGUCAAGUGACAGCUCACUCAACAGCUUCCAUGUUUAUUUUUUAUUUGUAAGAAAUGUAUUUGUUAUUGUCGCUGUGUGUUUUUAUUCGUAAUCCAGUCUGCUGCACGGUGUCGCUGGACGCAGACGGUGUAUCGGAUCAUGAGUCGACACAGCACUAUUAUUAGCUGAUGUGGUUCUUUAAGAUCUGAAGACCAGGAAGACAACCCUGUACCUGGACCCGUGCUUGCGUUAGACUGAGUUCUCCUCGACGCAGAAAAUGUCGAUAAUGGACCACAGCCCCACCACCGGUGUCGUGACGCUCAUAGUGACCCUGAUAGCCAUUGCAGCCUUGGGAGCGCUGAUCUUCGGCUGCUGGUGCUACUUGCGACUGCAACGCUUCACUCAGUCAGAGGAUGAGGAGAGCAUCGUUGGUGAGGGUGAAACCAAAGAGCCCUUCCUCCUGGUGCAGUACUCGGCCCAUGUCCCUCGGGCUGAUCAUAAGAGCAAACUCACUCCAAUGGGCACAGAGAGCCACAGCUAAUUGUUCUCUUCAUAAAACCCUGUUCUGCGUGUGGGAAUGUGGUUGAUUCAUGGAGUUACCAUCCUGUUGUAAUGAGAACCGGUUUCAGAUCAAACGUAGAACUAAGCUAAUGUAUGUAUUUGUCCAGCUGCUUGUAAAAAGUCUCCUUGAAUGUUUUUUGCACUUUGUGGUAGUCCAGUGGAACCCUGUUAUAAUGUGAAACUGGUGCAUUUCUGUUUUUGUUUAUUUGUUUGUUUUAAUUUACGACUCGCUGACAUUUAUUUAUCUGCUGAAUUAUGUCCUUGGGUGCAGAUACAUUUUCUUAUGUGCUCUUUUAGAUGAACCCUAGUUUUAGCCAGAGCAGGCUCUGGUGUAAAGUCUCUAUGUUAAUAUGUCAAUUAAAUCAGUCGUACGUCAUCAUAGUAAGUGAAUACGGAAGGCUGUCUCGUCUUUUAGCACGGAAAUCCGAGUCAUGUUUAAUUUCUACACGUGACGUUAGAUGCCCCGAUGCUCUGAUCUGCUAAGAAGCCGUCGUGAACGAAAGCCAGUGACUGGGUGUCAGUGUGUGGAGAUGCACCAGGAAGACCUCAGAGGUGAUCGUUACGUUGGCUGAGCACAUUGCUGUGUAUGGAAUUAGAUGAGGUCUCAUGAAAGCGGUUUCAAUAUAUAUACAGUAUAUAAUUUUAUAUAUAUAUAUAGUCUUUCACUUCUGUCAUGCUGAAACUGUCUGAUGCACAUCUUUGUAAGAAGUGGAUUUGAGUGAAUAAACAUUGAUUUGUGUGUGA